This 92-nucleotide transfer RNA is filed under the name Alphaproteobacteria bacterium. Its description in RNAcentral is "tRNA-Ser". It matches the Rfam family "tRNA". Rfam says of the family: Transfer RNA (tRNA) molecules are approximately 80 nucleotides in length. Their secondary structure includes four short double-helical elements and three loops (D, anti-codon, and T loops). Further hydrogen bonds mediate the characteristic L-shaped molecular structure. tRNAs have two regions of fundamental functional importance: the anti-codon, which is responsible for specific mRNA codon recognition, and the 3' end, to which the tRNAs corresponding amino acid is attached (by aminoacyl-tRNA synthetases). tRNAs cope with the degeneracy of the genetic code in two manners: having more than one tRNA (with a specific anti-codon) for a particular amino acid; and 'wobble' base-pairing, i.e. permitting non-standard base-pairing at the 3rd anti-codon position. Lineage: Bacteria; Pseudomonadati; Pseudomonadota; Alphaproteobacteria. The record is from RNAcentral.
GGAUGGGUGGCUGAGUGGUUGAAAGCACCGGUCUUGAAAACCGGCAAGGGCCGAGAGGUUCUUCGUGGGUUCAAAUCCCACCCCAUCCGCCA